UAGUAACGGCGAGUGAAGAGGAAAGAGCUCAAAGUUGGAACCUGUUUGGCUUAGCUAAACCGGAUUGUAAACUGUAGAAGUGUUUUCCAGACACGCCUGGUAAAAAAGUCCUUUGGAACAGGGCAUCAUAGAGGGUGAGAAUCCCGUCAUUGGCCAGAGCUGUUGUCUUUUGUGAUACAUUUUCAAAGAGUCAGGUUGUUUGGGAAUGCAGCCUAAAUUGGGUGGUAAAUCUCACCUAAAGCUAAAUAUUUGCGAGAGACCGAUAGCGAACAAGUACCGUGAGGGAAAGAUGAAAAGAACUUUGAAAAGAGAGUUAAACAGUAUGUGAAAUUGUUAAAAGGGAACCGUUUGGAGCCAGACUGGCUUGAUCGUAAUCACUCUAGGCUUUGGCCUGGAUGCACUUGCGGUCUAUGCCGGCCAACGACAGUUUUGUUUGAGGGAAAAAAUUACAUUGAAUGUGGCCCUUCGGGGUGUUAUAGCUUUGUAAAAAAUACCUUGGACGGGACUGAGGAACGCAGCGAAUGCCUUUAGGCGAGAUUGCUGGGUGCUUGCGCUGAUACAUGCUAGAAUUUCUGCUUCGGGUGGUGCUAGUGUGUAAAGGAGUAACCCGCUUAGUAUAUUUUUUAUUCGCUUAGGUUGUUGGCUUAAUGACUCUAAAUGACCCGUCUUGAAACACGGACCAAGGAGUCCACCAUUAGUGCAAGUAUUUGGGUGACAAACCCAUAUGCGCAAGGAAACUGAUUGAUACGAAGGCGCAAGCUGGCAGUAUCACCCGGCGUUGACGUUUUAUACUGAACUGACCGAGGUAAAGCACUAAUGAUGGGACCCGAAAGAUGGUGAACUAUGCCUGAAUAGGGUGAAGCCGGAGGAAACUCCGGUGGAGGCUCGUAGCGAUUCUGACGUGCAAAUCGAUCGUCAAAUUUGGGUAUAG
RNAcentral lists this ribosomal RNA (931 nucleotides) under Mucor irregularis. Its description in RNAcentral is "eukaryotic LSU rRNA". It matches the Rfam family "Eukaryotic large subunit ribosomal RNA", at positions 81 to 920 of the family's 3401-position model. Lineage: Eukaryota; Fungi; Mucoromycota; Mucoromycetes; Mucorales; Mucoraceae. The record is from RNAcentral.